UUAAAUGAAGCCAAGCUAGAGGCAUUUUAUUGUUAAUAAAAUUAUUGAAAUUUUUUUCCAUUUAAA
RNAcentral lists this transfer RNA (66 nucleotides) under Maoricicada lindsayi. Its description in RNAcentral is "tRNA-Asn". The record is from RNAcentral. Lineage: Eukaryota; Metazoa; Arthropoda; Insecta; Hemiptera; Cicadidae.